AUAAAAAUUAUGAUGGAAAGCAGUAAUUGUAUGAUUUAUAAAGAGAGGCAAUGGUUGGUGGAAAUUGCUUAAAGAGUACAAUGAAACAUUCAUUCCUGAAUUGCAGGCUGAAAAAAAUUUAAAUUUUUAGUAGGCUGAGCCGGAUACCUAACGUUAAUAAGGGUAUAAAGAGGAUUUGUGUCAAUCAAAUUGGGUGGUACCGCGAAUAAUAAUCGUCCCUUGU
RNAcentral lists this non-coding RNA (223 nucleotides) under Clostridium tetani. Its description in RNAcentral is "T-box sequence". It matches the Rfam family "T-box leader". From Rfam's summary of the family: Uncharged tRNA acts as the effector for transcription antitermination of genes in the T-box leader family. Lineage: Bacteria; Bacillati; Bacillota; Clostridia; Eubacteriales; Clostridiaceae. The record is from RNAcentral.